RNAcentral lists this ribosomal RNA (440 nucleotides) under uncultured bacterium. Its description in RNAcentral is "partial 16S ribosomal RNA". It matches the Rfam family "Bacterial small subunit ribosomal RNA", at positions 338 to 795 of the family's 1533-position model. The record is from RNAcentral.
CCUACGGGAGGCAGCAGUGGGGAAUAUUGCACAAUGGGGGAAACCCUGAUGCAGCGAUGCCGCGUGGAGGAAGAAGGUUUUCGGAUUGUAAACUCCUUUUAUCAGGGGCGCUAAUGCCGGUACGUGAAGAAAAAGCUCCGGCUAACUACGUACAAGCAGCCGCGGUAAUACGUAGGGAGCGCGCGUUGUUCGGAAUUACUGGGUGGAAAGGGUGCGUUGGUGGGACGGCAAGGCAGAUGGGAAAACUGAGGGCUCAACUUUCAGACUGCAUUUGACACUGCUGUUCUUGAGUGAGAUAGAGGUAAGCGGAAUGCCUAGUGUAGCGGUGAAAUGCGUAGAUAUUAGGAGGAACAGCGGUUGCGAAGGCGGCUUACUGGGGUUAUACUGACGCUGAGGCUCGAAAGCGUGGGGAGCAAACAGGAUUAGAUACCCGAGUAGUC